This 497-nucleotide ribosomal RNA is filed under the name uncultured bacterium. Its description in RNAcentral is "partial 16S ribosomal RNA". It matches the Rfam family "Bacterial small subunit ribosomal RNA", at positions 28 to 507 of the family's 1533-position model. The record is from RNAcentral.
GACGAACGCUGGCGGCGUGCCUAAUACAUGCAAGUUGAGCGCUGAAGGUUGGUACUUGUACCAACUGGAUGAGCAGCGAACGGGUGAGUAACGCGUGGGGAAUCUGCCUUUGAGCGGGGGACAACAUUUGGAAACGAAUGCUAAUACCGCAUAAAAACUUUAAACACAAGUUUUAAGUUUGAAAGAUGCAAUUGCAUCACUCAAAGAUGAUCCCGCGUUGUAUUAGCUAGUUGGUGAGGUAAAGGCUCACCAAGGCGAUGAUACAUAGCCGACCUGAAAGGGUGGUCGGCCACAUUGGGACUGAGACACGGCCCAAACUCCUACGGGAGGCAGCAGUAGGGAAUCUUCGGCAAUGGACGAAAGUCUGACCGAGCAACGCCGCGUGAGUGAAGAAGGUUUUCGGAUCGUAAAACUCUGUUGGUAGAGAAGAACGUUGGUGAGAGUGGAAAGCUCAUCAAGUGACGGUAACUACCCAGAAAGGGACGGCUAACUACGUG